GACAGAGGCCUCGAGCGUUAGGCGGAAUCACUGGGCUUAAAGCGUGUGUAGGCGGAAGAGUAAGUACCUUGUGAAAUCCCACGGCUCACCCGUGGAACCGCUGGGUAUACUGCUCUUCUUGGGCCACUCAGGGGCGACUGGAACAAGCGGUGGAGCGGUGAAAUGCGUAGAUAUCGACUUGGAACGCCGAAGGUGAAAACAGGUCGCUGGGAGUGCGCCGACGCUGAGACACGAAAGCCAGGGGAGCAAACGGG
Molecule: ribosomal RNA, 254 nt
Filed under: uncultured bacterium
Lineage: Bacteria
Description: partial 16S ribosomal RNA
Rfam family: Bacterial small subunit ribosomal RNA
Source: RNAcentral